This 521-nucleotide ribosomal RNA is filed under the name Fusarium avenaceum. Its description in RNAcentral is "eukaryotic LSU rRNA". The stretch from base 182 to 335 matches the Rfam family "5.8S ribosomal RNA". Lineage: Eukaryota; Fungi; Ascomycota; Sordariomycetes; Hypocreales; Nectriaceae. The record is from RNAcentral.
UCCGUAGGUGAACCUGCGGAGGGAUCAUUACCGAGUUUACAACUCCCAAACCCCUGUGAACAUACCUUAAUGUUGCCUCGGCGGAUCAGCCCGCGCCCCGUAAAACGGGACGGCCCGCCAGAGGACCCAAACUCUAAUGUUUCUUAUUGUAACUUCUGAGUAAAACAAACAAAUAAAUCAAAACUUUCAACAACGGAUCUCUUGGUUCUGGCAUCGAUGAAGAACGCAGCAAAAUGCGAUAAGUAAUGUGAAUUGCAGAAUUCAGUGAAUCAUCGAAUCUUUGAACGCACAUUGCGCCCGCUGGUAUUCCGGCGGGCAUGCCUGUUCGAGCGUCAUUUCAACCCUCAAGCCCCCGGGUUUGGUGUUGGGGAUCGGCUCUGCCUUCUGGCGGUGCCGCCCCCGAAAUACAUUGGCGGUCUCGCUGCAGCCUCCAUUGCGUAGUAGCUAACACCUCGCAACUGGAACGCGGCGCGGCCAUGCCGUAAAACCCCAACUUCUGAAUGUUGACCUCGGAUCAGGUA